UACGUAGGGGUCUAGCGUUGUCCGGAAUCAUUGGGCGUAAAGAGCUCGUAGGUGGUUUGUCGCGUUGUUCGUGAAAACUCACAGCUCAACUGUGGGCGUGCGGGCGAUACGGGCAGACUGGAGUACUGCAGGGGAGACUGGAAUUCCUGGUGUAGCGGUGGAAUGCGCAGAUAUCAGGAGGAACACCGGUGGCGAAGGCGGGUCUCUGGGCAGUAACUGACGCUGAGGAGCGAAAGCGUGGGGAGCGAACAGG
This 253-nucleotide ribosomal RNA is filed under the name uncultured bacterium. RNAcentral describes it as "partial 16S ribosomal RNA". It matches the Rfam family "Bacterial small subunit ribosomal RNA", at positions 524 to 776 of the family's 1533-position model. The record is from RNAcentral.